AUUAAAUUGUUUAAUAAAAAUUUUAGGGACUUUUUUUAAAAGGUGUCAACACUUCACUCACUCACACGUCUUUAAAAAAGUGGCUUCAGUUUUUUGUUCUAGGUGCGUUAUCUACCUUUUUUUACUUGAUCUAUGUAUGCAUCAAACUACGCUCAUUUUCAUUAGUAUGUCACGAGGCUUCAUACAGUAACUUUGCUUAUAAAAUGCCGUCUUGUGUGAUUAAAUGGUGCAAAAACAAUACCAAAGUAAACAAAAAAUCUGAAGGAAUAUCGUUUCACACGUUUCCAACGAAUAUUUUAAUAAGAGGUGAAUGGGUAGCGGCUGUUAGACUGAGAAAAUGACCACGAUUAUGCUGGCCAUGCGCAUAAAGUCAAUUUAAUACGAUUAGU
This 389-nucleotide unclassified non-coding RNA is filed under the name Melitaea cinxia (Glanville fritillary). RNAcentral's name for it is "misc RNA ENSMCXG00005006435.1". Lineage: Eukaryota; Metazoa; Arthropoda; Insecta; Lepidoptera; Nymphalidae. The record is from RNAcentral.